AAGUCGUAACAAGGUUUCCGUAGGUGAACCUGCGGAAGGAUCAUUAACAAGAAGAAUAUUGGUUUACUGAAUGUUUGGAUUGGGUAUGAAUGAUUGGGAAACUGAUUGUUUAUGCUUUUUCUGACAUUCUUUUAUAUCAAACACUAAUGUGAAUAGGAACUUGUGGCAAAAAUAAUGGAUGGAAUAACAACCAUUUUUUUAUUAUUAAACCCUUUCAAACCUCAAACAAAAGAUAAAAACAAAAACAAAAAUCCAAUGUCACAAUUGGAAAUAAAAAAUUCAAAUAAAAUGAACAACUUUUAACAAUGGAUAUCUUGGUUCUCGC
RNAcentral lists this unclassified non-coding RNA (325 nucleotides) under fungal sp. Its description in RNAcentral is "partial internal transcribed spacer region". The stretch from base 1 to 46 matches the Rfam family "Eukaryotic small subunit ribosomal RNA", at positions 1786 to 1831 of the family's 1831-position model. The record is from RNAcentral. Lineage: Eukaryota; Fungi.